This 268-nucleotide ribosomal RNA is filed under the name uncultured bacterium. RNAcentral's name for it is "partial 16S ribosomal RNA". It matches the Rfam family "Bacterial small subunit ribosomal RNA", at positions 94 to 354 of the family's 1533-position model. The record is from RNAcentral.
UGGACGGAACGGGUGAAGUAACGACGGUCGGACACUCGACCAAAGGGGGGAGUAACACUUGGAAACAGGUGCUAAUACCGCAUAACCAUAGUUACCGCAUGGUAACUAUGUAAAAGGUGGCUAUGCUACCGCUUUUGGAUGGGCCCGCGGCGCAUUAGCUAGUUGGUGGGGUAAAGGCUUACCAAGGCAAUGAUGCGUAGCCGAACUGAGAGGUUGAUCGGCCACAUUGGGACUGAGACACGGCCCAAACUCCUACGGAAGGCAGCAG